UGCCUUUUUCUUUUCAUCAACCUUGGUGACUAUCAGUGUCAAAGAAAGCUUAAUUCUUCGUUCUGUUUUUAUUUGUCUCUUUAAAGGUUUGUAAAUUUUUUUUCUAUCGACCUUAUUCAACCAUGUAAAUGGAAAAUUUAUGUUAAAAUUCUUCCAUGCAUAGUAGGUACAAAGUGGUUGAGAUAGUUCACAAAAAUGUUAUGGAUGGCUUCUUGUGAUUUAAUAUUGGAGUCCAUAAUAUCUCUACACUCCAGAUCGCGUAGAACUAACUAGAUUGCUCAUUAUUUUCCCGAGCUUGUUGUUUUUGAAACGCUGGACGAUGCUGACAUUUGUGUUGCGUUCGCAGGUUAUGAAAUGGAUGAACAGGCUCCUGAUUCUAAUUACUUGCGGCUGCAGUUUUAUCAGUUCCCGGAUCCCAGGUCAAGACCUGGCCGUAACAAGGGGUGAUAGGCAUUAGGUGAUGAGAAACAUCCGUGUUGAUGUAAUCAAGAUUGCAUUUGCUCUUAUACAUUAUAUAUAUUGCUCAGGCUUGGGCACACACUAAUUGUAAGCACUUCUGAUGCACAUUGUUGUUCUAGGUAGUGAAAUCAGAAACAGUUUUAUAGUUGUGUUGAACGAUCUGAUUUUGCACGUCCAUGGUCUACAAUUUACUCAAGGAAUGUUUUAAUUCUGAAUUGAGAUUGUACUGUGCAUAGACUACCGCAAAAUUAGUACAGAGAUAGUUUCCCUAUAGAUUGUUUUCAUAUACUAGAGGACUUCCAUGGCCAGGGUAUCUUGCCACCAUAUUGUCCCCGUACAUUUUCCCUCCAUAUUAGUUAUAUAUUUAUCUGGACAUUCUAACCUAAUGAAGUCCUACAAUCAUCAUAACUCAUUUUACUUAGCUCAUGCUCCUUACAAUAUUUGAUGAACUCACAUAAGAAACUCAUAGAAAUUUGUUCCCAGUCAUUACCUUUGGACUGCAGUUGAAGCUUAUGAUACAUCCUCCCAAUGCUAAGCACUAGCUAGUGGGUUGUCGACUAAUCUAUGCCACCGUACACAUCGCAGGGGCUUUGAACUCUGUCUCAAUUAUUGUAAAGACGUUAGCCUCUUCAAUGAAAGAACCCAUAGUCCUAUGCUGCUAGAGCUCCCCCCACCCUUCUUGGAAUUAAUAUAGUGUUAGGACAUAUCGCUCUAUUUCUCACAUCACGUGACUAAUGAUUUCUUUGAAGUUACUUCUUUAGGAAACACUUAUACUACAAGUGCUUUUAUUAUAUAGAAUCUUUAUAAGCAAUCCAAGUGUUCAUUGAAAACGUAUUUGAAAGUGCUUCUUGAAAAAGCAUUUGGCAAGUGCUUCUUGAAAAAGCAUUUGGCAAGUGCUUCUAUAAAAGAGCUUAUUGGGUCAAAAGAAUUUCUAAGUUUUUUUUUCUGCCAAGCACAACAGAAUACACAUUUUAGCUUUUUCCAGAACCAAUCCCAGACAAGUUCUAAGCAAAGAAAGGGCGAUACAGCCUGAAGACAACGGAGAAUUUCCCUGACGUUAAAGGUUUUGUUUGUUCGGUCACUAAACCCAAAAAAAUAGAAAACUUGAAGUGGGCAAUGAAUUGGUUUUCGAUUUCCAUUAAAUUGGCACAACAUUCGGCAUUGUUAUGCAAAAAUAUACUUUUUUCUUAUCAUUAGUUUUACACACACUCUAGUCUGUGGUAUAAAAUGAGCUAGGGUUUGGUUGGAGAACAAGUCUACGUGGUAUCAUCACUUACAUUACAUGCCAUGUGGGCUGGAGGGUUUCAUUUGGUGCCAUUACUCCUUUUUCUGUUCUAUAAUCAUUUUGGAACUGGAAGAGAAAGUGGAGGGGAAAAGGUAGUUUAGGGCAAAAAUUUUCCAAUCAAUUUUUUGGCAGUGUGACUGUUUUCGAAAUAUAGAGUAGUUGUGGCAAAAAAGAAAAAGGAAAGGGGUAAUUGUACAUACACAUUGUUCCAAAGGGUCAGUUGUCCCACAACUUGUCAAGGGACCAGAGCAUUAAGUUGUAGCUGCAAGUGCAAGGAGAAAGUUGUGGAUUAGAUAGACCAAUGGAUUUGGUUUGGUUUAAUUCCAAGUCAUCGUCGUUUCUUCUUCUAUGUGGCCCAGCCGCCCAGGACUUUAGUCCUUAUUUGGCAGGUACUUAUUACAAGGUUAGAUAAAGGGAGAUGAUACAUGGAGAACGGUUUGCCAAGUUUGUUAGAGUGGAUCCGGAUCCAUGAGUGUUGGAUCUCUAGUAAUUGAAUCUUUAGUUAAAGAUUCAAUGUCUCAACGAUCUAUGCUAUACAUUUGUCUUUACGAAUUUUCAUUCAUUGUGUAUUACAUAAUAUUCUUGACCCUCUUAUAUGUGACUUCGGCCGACUUCUAUCACCCGAUAUCGUUGUGUAAUAACUUGAUGAGAUAGCCAAUGCUUAGGUCAUCUUCAAUGGAGAUGGCUAAAGGUCAAAAAGCUAAAAAAUAGUAUGAUUUGUUCAAAAACUCAUCUCCAACCAAUGUCAGAGCUAUAAUUAUAUGGAGCCCACCAUGCCAUUAUUUGGCUAGUGCCCCUUUCUUAGCCCCUUUUUGGGGCCUAGCUCCUCGAUUAUGCCAUCUGCAAUGAAGAGGGCUAAAUGUCUAAAAGCCAAAAAAUGACAUGAUUUACCCAAAAACUCAUCUCCAACCAAUAGCUAGGUUAUAAUUCUAUGGAUUCAACAGUUAGAUUUGGAAACAUCCAAUGUUAGUUUAAUUAAAUUAAAGUAUAAACUUAAAACUAAUAAAUUAUUAGGGAGCCUAUGUUUUAGCCCUUUCGGUUGGAGAUGGUAUAUGAGUAUGGCCGACACUAUUCAUUUAAAAAUAAUUUUUUUGUUGGGUUAUAAUUUUGGAUGAGGCUAUGUCUAGCCCUUUUGGUUGGAGAUGACCUUACAAUGAUUAAUUCAAAUUCAAUGGUUAAAUUUGAAAAUAUCCAACAAAACAUCCAACAGUAGUUUAAUUAAAUUAAUCAAUAAUUUUAAGUAUAAACUCAGAACUAAUAAAUUAUUGAGGGAGUUAUGUUUAGCCUUUUCGGUUGGAAAUGAUAUAUGAGUAUGGCCUAAUACUGUUUAUUAAAAAAAAAAUCUUUAGUUAUCUCUGCUAAUCAAUAAAACACUCAUUGUCAACCAAAAUCCUAUGAAAUUACCAGUUUAACCUUCUAAUUAAAACAAAACAUGAAUAAGAAAUAUGGGGCGGAAAUUUAAUUUUACACAAACAAAAUUUGUUGUUUUUUUUUUUCAAAACUUCAUCUAUAUAUAAUUCUAACAUAUCUCUAAUUAUAAAAUAAAUAAAAAAUAAAAAUAAAAACUUCCUACUCCCACAUUCUCUAUCACUCCCUUCCUCUCUUCUUUUAUUUUAAAACAAAAAAAAAAAUUUCACAUACUUUAUAUAUGCCCAUAUGCUAGUAAUUAUAAACGAAACUAUAUUUAACUAUUUCGUUGAAAAUGACCGUACGAGUAUGUAAAUUUUGAAAUGUGAGUUGUCGUUCACUACGCAAGCAAAGAUCGAAAGCCUUCAUGUACCGAGGGGUCCCACUCCUUGAAUCAGAAUAAAAGUGCUUUGAAAAAGUCCCUUUAAUUAUGUCCAAGUUUGGAUAAAAUUUGUCCAUGCAUGGCAUGCACUCACUGACUGAUCUCGUCGUCCUGAAGGGUAAGAGAGGUAAAUUCCAGAAUAACCCACGAGGCACUGUAUGAAGCCUGUCAAUUACAUCAACUCAUCAAGCUUUCAAUCUUUUCAUGGCAUGCCUAACUUCUGUGAAAUAUGCUCAACAUUUAACAUUUUGUAAACCAAAAAGAGAGUAAGAGAGAGAUGAUUGAAGUAAUAAAGUAAAAGCGAAAUGCAUGCAUUGAUAAAAGGAAAUUUUAACAAAAAAAAUUUCGGUACUGUUUACUUUAACAAAAAAUUAUAUUUUUACAUUAAAAAGUCAAUUCUAAUACUAUUCAUUUUACCCUUUAUUUGUUCUUUAUUGUUAAAAAUCAAAUUUUUCAAUCCAUUUUUAUUAGUUUUCCUUUGAUAAAAGGAGAAAGAUGCAUGGAGAACUGGUUUUUUAUUUUAUUAUUAUUUUUUUUACAAACAAUAAUAUUAGAGUGGAUUAAGUUAUUAGCUGUUAGCGAGAAGAGGAUCAAUAAUAAUCAAACUAGCACCCGGAUGUAUAAGCAUAAUUGUUUUCUAAAAUUGCAAUAAAACGUCACUUUCCAUAUAUAUAUAUAUAAAAAAAAAAAACUUAUUGUUCCUUGUAUGAUGGAUUGCAAUCUCAAUAUCGUUCUUAAUGGAACGGCCACAAUUAGUUGUUCAGGACAUAAACAAUAUGUAUUGUCUUUAUAUUUAGGAAAUUGGCUCUGUUAGCCUUAUUACAAACCCAACAAUUAAAAAUACUCCCAAAUUAUAAUCUCUAUUAGCCCUCUUUUCCUUAAAUACCACUAACUUGAAAGAUGAACUGUUAUUCUAUGUCUCGACGUUGGAUCUCGAUGGCAUCCAAAAGGGCCUCUCAACUCCCUUCCGACUGUAUCUCGACUGAAUCACGACGGCAUCUCAACGGCACAGAACUGAAUUACCCUUAUAUUUAUGAGUUGAUCAGACACUCCAAUUAAAUAAAAAUAACUAUAAUUAUGUCAAAAUUAUUUAGUCAGUCUCACGUAUAUAUAAUUAAUUCAUCAAACACAUAAACAAAAAAGUUCUUGUAUGUAUGCUAUACUUUGAUUUGUCUCAACAAGAAAUGACUCAGUCAUCUUUUUAUCUAUGUCCAUUGAGUUUAUGGAGGGCAACAUAUUGAGAUCUCAAAAAUCUUAUUCUCAUACAACACACUUUUUUUUUUGAACAAACGAUAUUAUCUACACUAAGGGAAAAUGGGUGGCCUAAACCUCACAAUGGGCUAGCAAUAAUGUGGUUCAAAUUCACAUUUGGCGAGAAUCAAACCUAAGACCUCUCACUGACAAGUGAAGAAGAAUAUCACUAGACCGUAGUCCUAAAAAAAAUAUAGAUCUUAUAGUCUUGCAGUGUUUUAGAUUAGCUAAAACGUUGGUAUCCAUAUUAACUUACCAAAAAAAAUAUGUUGAAUUUGCUACACCUGGAAUUUGUAGCAGAUUUGUCAUUUUAUAAAGGGGUUUUUAACUCAUUUAAAAAAAAAGAAGGGGUUUUUAACUUUAAUUCUUAAAAAAAAUUGAAAUUUAAUAAAAAUCGGAUGUUAGAUUACAUAUUAAUUAUUGUCCUUUAAUGUGUUAUUAACUCAAAUUAAUUAAUGUGUAUUUUAUUCAAUAUCUCACAUUAAAUAUUUGAAUUUAUGAAAAUGAAAAUUAUAAUAAAAUAUAAUUAAUAUAUCAAAAUUAGAAAGAAAAAGAGAAAUAAUUAAAACAUCAAAAUAUAAUUAAUAAAUGAAGUAAUUAACAUAUCAAGAGACUAAAAUUAGAUUUUAAUUUUACUCAUGUUUUUAAUUUAAAGUUAUUUUUAUCAAAAAUUAAAAUGAAGUUUCCUAUUUUGUAAAUUACAACGAUGAAAAAUGACGCGUUGCACGUAAGAAACAACAUCUAUAUUUUCUCUUUUGUUUAAUAUGCCAUCAAACAUAUCCAUCACAUUUUAAAUUUUGUGGAAGUCCCUCUCUCACAUUGAUAAAGUCUGGUUUGUGUUGGACAGCUGUCCAACAGACAACCCAAAAAUCUUCCAAAAACCAACAAACAUUUCUGACCAGUCAUGCAUACGUAUGCAUGGACCCAAUGGCAUAUAAUCAAAAAUUUUAAAUAAUGGGAUCGUAAUGUCAACUUAAAAAAAAGUUUCAUUAAGCUAUUUCAUCGAACAUUUAGUAAGCAAUUGUCAAUUCUUGUCAACAAUGCCAAAAGUUUAUGUUAAAAUAUAUCAACUACGAUAAUUUGUAGAGGCUUGUCGAGAGUGAUGUAGGAUACUACGAAGUAAUAUUGAGAACUCUUAAAGCUUUUCAACUAAAGUAUUUUAUAUAAAAAGAGAGAAAAGAAAAACAAAUAUGAUAGAAGAAAAUAGAAGAAGUAAGAAGAUGAGGUUGUAAGUUAGUUUGCUUUAGCUAUUUAUAAUGGUCAAAUAAAAUAUACAAACAAAUAUACAUGAGAUUUUUAAAGUUGUUGAGAUCAAGGAUAAUCAAUGAUCCCAUUCUAGUUUUGCCAUUGCAUGGGCCGGAUAGGGAUAUGGCUAAAAUAUAAUUCUAUUAAUUGCGUUUUGGGACUUUGUCUAACAACUUGGCUCUCUCUUGACUUGGAUGCCAUGGAUGGCUCAUGCAGUUUACUAAAACUAGUAAUGUACAAUUUUCAGAGACUAUUAAUUAUCAUCUAUCAGGAAAAUUUGAUUUCCAUGCUUGCCCUUUCACGUCGGUGACUUGGAGAUAAUAUUGUUUCUUGUCCGGAGAUGAAAUAAAAUAAAAAGACUUGCACGAUCAUACUGCAUUAUAUAUAUUACACUAUAUAGUCUAUGUUGGGAGUUAUAUAUUAGUUAAAGUAUAAAUAGUAGUCUGUUAUCCUAUAUUGAUGAAGUGCAUAUGUAAUACAAAUUGUAAUUCCUAUAUAUACUCCAUUUUGGAGAUUAAUGAAUAUAUGAGAAAUUCUCAAAUAUUAUCAUAUAUAUUUUUGGUAUUUACCAUGUUUAGUUUAAUAUAGCAUCAAAGCAGUUCGCUCUUGGUGACCUGUGUGCUUUAAUUUUGUGCCCCACAUUUGUCAUGAUUUCCUUCGUCUUGAAAAAAAAAAAGGAAAGUAAAUAGUGUUGCACUACAGUACAAACAGUGCGUAAACAGUGGUAUGCUACAGUGUUCAUGAACAAUAUUUUGCUACAGUGCCAUUAACAGUGAUCUACUACAUCACUUGAACAGUGAUGUGCUACAGUAUUAUGGUAAAUUGUUUUCAUUCCGCUGCCUAUCUUUUGUGCCUUUAUUGUUUGUGAUUUAAUUCAAUGGCUCAGUAUAAUCAUAAUGUUGUUAUGCAUCUUGGUGGAACAAAUAAAUGGAUAAUUGAUACUGGGACCACUAAUCAUGUGACUAGUGACCCUAGAAUGUUUGAUGAGUUAUGUGACUAUAUUCUUGAUCCGUAUAUUACUAGUGCAAAUGGAGCACAUUCCCCCGUGAAUGUUGAAGGCAUUAUCUCUCUUACUUCGACCUUAUCACUGGUCCAUACUUUACUUGUUCCUGAUGUUAAGUGCAAUCUUUUGUCGGUAGAAAAACUACUUGAUACUUUAUAUUGUUUUGCUCACUUCUACCCUACGUAUUGUUAUUUUCAAGACAUUCAAACUCAGAAAGUAAUUGGUCAUGGUAAAAGAAUAGAGGGUUGUACAUCUUGACUAUGGAGGAUACUGUUGUUUCCGGUUCAAAUAAUCAUCAAGUUUUAAGUGCUAAAGUGGAUGACAUACAUCAAAUUUGGUUGUGGCAUUGGCGAUUAGGACGUCUAUCAUUCAGUUAUAUGAAGCAUCUAUUUCCUGCUUUGUUUCGCAUUUGUAGUGAUUCAUAAUUCAAGUGUGAAGCAUGUGUCAUGGCUAAGAGUCAUCGUGCUUCCUUUCCCAUAAGUGAUUCUAAAGCUACUUUGCCAUUUGAUUUAAUACAUUCUGAUGUGUGAGGUCCGGCAAAUGUUACUUCUAAUGAAUUUCGUUGGUUUGUUACUUUUAUUGAUGAUUGUACUCGAUUAACUUAGGUGUUAUUGAUGAAGAAUAAGAGUGAUGUUCAUUUGCUUCUUCAAGAAUUUUGUGCAAUGGUGUAUACUCAGUUUCAGACCAAAGUUAAGGUUUUCAGGUUUGAUAAUAGAGGAGAAUAUGUGAAUCACACUUUGACAUGCUUUUUUCGUGAUCAGGGUAUUAUUCACCAGACGACUACUUUGUUUACACCCCAACAAAAUGGUGUGUCAGAACAGAAGAAUCGUCAAAUAAUGGAGGUUGCUCACUCAUUGAUGUUGGAUAAAUGUGUUCCUAAUCAUUUAUGGGGUCAUGUUGUUUUGGCUGUUGUAUAUUUGAUAAAUCGUGUUCUAAGUAGGGUUCUUGAUUUUCAGACACCACUUGAUGUGUUACAAAAGCAUGUUUAUCUUGUUUCUGUAUCAAAACUUCCUCCGAAGGUGUUUGGGUGUAUUGCGUAUGUGUAUGUCUACUCUUAUCAGCGGAGUAAACUUGAUGCAUGUGUUCUUCGAUGUGUAUUUAGUAGGUAUGCUAACAAUCAGAAAGGCUAUAAGUGUUAUCAUCCUCCGACUCAUAAAACUUAUAUUACCAUGGAUGUCACUUUCCACGAGGAAGUUUCGUAUUUUGUGAAGCCAUCUUCCGACUCUCCACUUCAGGGGAAAAAAGGGAGUGAAGUGCAUAUUUGAAGAGAUGGUAUGGAUGAUGUGUUACAGGCAGAGUUGGGGAUAGAACCUAUUAUGUUGCGUGAUACUGAUCAGUCGGUUAUAGAUAGUGAUCUGUCACCUAUUAUUCCUAAAACUAUUUUUACUGACGACAGAUUAGAUGUGCCCAACGAGUUGCUUGUCAGUAUGUCUGACGAAUUACUUUCUGAUGACCGAUUGCUUGCUUCUGGUAUGUCUAACGAGCUGCCUGAUGAUGGUUAGUUCAGUGAUGGUUCAUCCAGUGAUGAUUCUUUUAACAAUUUGGUACAAGAUAAUGACAUACAUGAGUUAAAUUCUGACGAUUCUUCUAUUUAUUAGUUGCCUCCACGAGCUAAUCGUGGAAAACCUAAGGUACAAUAUGAGCCUGAUAUGCAUGCCAAAUCCAAAUAUCCUAUCAACAAUUAUGUGUUUACUCAUCGUUUGUCCAAACCAUUUUCAUCUUACAUAUGUCAGCUAUCUAGUGUAUCAAUUCCAACAAAAUUGCACGAUGCCUUGUCUGACCCUAAGUGGGUUAAUGCCAUGAGAGUUGAGAUGGAAGCCUUGGAAAAGAAUUCUACUUGGGAUUUGGUUCAUUUACCAAAUGGGAAGAAAGCUGUUGGAUGUAGAUAGGUGUUCACUAUUAAGCACAAAGCAGAUGGUUCUAUUGACCGGUAUAAAGCCAUAUUAGUUGCUAAGGAUUAUACUCAAACCUAUAGGGUGGACUAUCAGGAGAUUUUUGUUCUUGUUGCCAAACUUAAUACUGUGUGUGUUCUUCUGUCCUUAGUAGCAAACCAGGAUUGGCCUCUGUUGCAGUUUGAUGUUAAGAAUGAUUUCCUUCAUGGUGAUCUCAAGGAGGAAAUUUAUAUGGAUCUCCCACUUAGUAUUAGAACAUCUCCUGAAAAAUGUGUUGUAUGCAAGUUGCAAAAAGCUUUGUAUAGUUUGAAACAAUCUCUUAGAGUGUGGUUUUGGAGGUUUACAAGUUCAAUGAAGAAGUUUGGGUAUGUCCAGAGUCAUUCAAAUCAUACUUUGUUUCUAAAUUGUUUCUAAAGCCACAAAAUGGUAAGCUAACUGCAUUGAUUAUUUAUGUUGAUGACAUGUUAGUGACUAGUGAUGAUCAAAAGGAGAUACAACGCCUUAAAAAAGUACCUAGCUAGUGAAUUUGAGAUGAAAGAAUUGGGUGAAUUGAAGUAUUUUCUUGGAAUCGAGGUUGCACAAUCCAAGCAUGGUAUUUUUCUGUCUCAACAGAAGUAUGUUCUUGAUUUGUUAGUUGAAACAAAUCUGUUAGAUUGCAAACUUAUUGAUACUCUGAUUGAGCAAAAUCAUCAUCUGGGCUUAUUUCCGAAUCAAGUUCCUACUCAUAAGGAACGGUAUCAGAGGCUUGUGGGGAAAUUAAUUUAUUUGUCUCACACUUGCCCUGACAUUGCUUAUGCAGUUAGUGUAGUAAGUCAGUUUAUGCACUCACCUAGUGAAGCUCAUAUGGAUGAAAUAGUCCGUAUUUUGAGGUGCUUGAAGAUGGCUCCUGGCAGAGGCUUGGUUUUCUCCAAGAAUGGUCAUUUGAAUGUCGAAGGGUAUACAGAUGCAGAUUGGACAAGUUCUAUCACUGAUUGGCGGGUGGUAAUCUAGUUACUUGGAGAAGUAGAAACAAAAAAUGGUGGCUAGGUCAAGUGCUGAAGCUGAGUUUCGUGGUAUGUCUCAUGGUGUAUGUGAGUUGUUGUGGUUAAAAAAAUUGUUGAGAGAUCUUGGAUUUAAACCCAAUGGUGCUAUGAAACUCCAUUGUGAUAACAAGGCUGCUAUUGAGAUUGCUCAUAAUCCAGUGCAACAUAAUCAAACAAAACAUGUGGAGAUUGAUCAACAUUUCAUCAAGGAAAAUUUGGAUGCUGGAAUUAUUAUGUUUCCGUUUGUGAGAUCUGAAGAUCAACUCGCUGAUGUACUUACUAAGACUGUGUCUAAUAGUGUGUUUUCCAACUCGCUUGACAAGUUGGGCAUGCAUGACAUCUUUGCUCCAACUUGAGGGGGAAUUUUACGAGUUAUAUAUAGUUAAAGUGUAAAUAGUAGUCUGUUGUCCUACAUUGAUGAAGUACAUAUGUAAUACUAAUUGUAACUCCUAUAUAUACUCCACUUUGGAGAUUAAUAAAUAUAUAAGAAAUUCCCAAAUAUUGUCAUAUAAAUUUUUGGUAUUUAUCAUGUUUAGUUUAAUAGUCUAAACAUCAGGAAAUACACCAACCCUAAACCUAAUGGAUUUUAUGAAGCCGCUGGUUUGGGUACACAUUAAUCUAACCUAAUUGCUCUACCACAUUCUAAACACAAAAUUUGUUAUAAAUAGGAUGAUUAAAUUUAUUUUCUCAAGCGGUAGAGUAGUGAACCUCACAGCGACGACAAUCUUCCACCCCCAAAUUCGGGUUUUUUUGUACUAAAAUGGUCUUUUAUGUAUAAGAACUUUACGAUAAGUUUAUUAAAAUUGGCUCUGUAUCUACGAAAUCUCAACAUCCAUACGUUACAAAAUGGAUUAGAACUCCUAGGAAAUAAAAUAGAACAUAUGAUGAUCCCUUUAAAGGGCCUUAUAAUGGGGAAGACUUCUCACAGAAUAUAAGAAGACGAAGAGGAAAACUAAAAACUUAGAACUUCAAGGAGAUGGACUGGAGCAGGGAGAAUGGCAAAGAACCGGAACCCAGAAGACCCGCAACGAAAAAGAAAACACUGUACUUUUUUUAGACAUUUUUUCACAUUUCUUCUCGGCCUUACAGCCAAGUAGCAUUUUCCGACCCCAAAUAAAGAUAGAAGGAAAAAACCAAAUUAAGGUAAAUAAAUUUUCUAUAGCAACUUGGCAAACAAAAACAUACUAGAAGAAAACAAGGAAAAUACAAAGAAAUUAAGGAAGUAUGGGAAACAAAAUAAAUUUAAUACGGGACCAACGACAACGGUGCAAAUGUAUAUUGUUCAGGAAAUAAACUUUUAGCGAAAAUGUGCUGCAAAAUUGACCAAUUUUGCUUCAUAUUCACACUCAAUUUUUUUAAGAAUUAAUAUCUGUAGAGUUUAGACCAAAAAUAAAAUAAAAAACAAAACCAAAAUGCUACUCCACUUUCUUGGUACUUAACUCAGCUCUCCACCUCCUUCCAAUCUUACAAGCUUCUAGAUUUAGAUUUGUCUCAAAUCACAUGCCAACUAACCUGCCCAGCUCAAUUUUAUUUUUUCUUUGGAAAUUCCAGUGCGUCUCUACUUUUGUUUUUCUAAAUCUUACUUACUCCCAUUAUAAUUGGAAUUUUAUAUAUUUAUAUGGAUGCUUUGUCAAGAUAUGAGAGAAAUAGUAGUGAUUCAAAAAGAUGAUUAGGAGCCAAAAAUAUUUAUUAUUUUAGAUUGGUGUUUAUGUUUUUGAACAGUUAAAAACUUUUUUGGUCAUUGUGUUUAUGUUUAAAAUUUAUUUUGGUCACUGUAUUUUAUUUUCUGCUAAUUUAGUUACUGUGUUAUCACAAGUUAGCAAUCUUAGUCCUUCUCAAUCAAACGUUAAAAAAAACGCACAUGACAUGCAAGUGCAGGGGUAACUAUGUAAGUGAAAAUAUAUCUUUGCCCCUGCACGAAACUGUCACGUGCAUUUUUUUGGCGGUUGACUUAUGGUAACGCAGUGACCAAUUUGGCAGAAAAUAAAACACAAUGACCAAAAUAAAUUUUAGAAAUACACACAGCGACCAAAAACGUUUUAAUUUAACCCAUUUUUAACAGUCCAGCCAGCUACCAUGAAAGCUACAACAUGAAAGCUGACUGUCAAAAUUUUGUUUAAAAAUUCAUACACAAUAAUCGUCAUAAGAACGUGCAAUAGGUACUUUGAAUUCUUAAAUAUACUGCAUGGUUACCCUUUCCUUUUGUUUUAUACAGAGAAAUCUUGACAGGCAGUCAAAAGCAAAAUUAUGUUCUUCUAGUGAUAUCUGUGUGCUAAAAAGGAAGUACGUAGCUACGUUCAGUCUUCACCUAACACUCCUAUUUGCACCUAAAAGAUGUGGAUAACAAAGAUUUUGACCAAAAUCACAUUGACAAGUACUUGCCAAAGGAUCACGGAACCUAUGAUUGUAAAAGAUAUACGUGUUGGGCCUGACCGACGUUAAUUAGUUGUUCAUAUUGAUUUGAGAAAUUUGAUUGAAUGAGGAUUAACAAAUCACAAUUGCUAAAAUAUUAAAAUGUAUUAACUGCGACAUAUUGGUUAAAUAAUUAUUGCACAUCGAAAAAAUAUUGACGAGUAAUUAUGAAUUUUUAUUUUCAUUAUUUCAAACAUUUUUAUAUUAGAAAAGCUAAAGAAAAUGAUUUAAAAACUUUGAAUUUUAAUGAUACGUACAAAAUGAAAGGUAAAAUAAAUAGUACCAGAAUUAACUUUUUGUUUAAAUUUUAUUUUCUAUUUGGCAUCAACUUUUGGUUUAAAUAUACUAUAUAACCCUCACAAAAGAAAAAGCAUGGUGUACUAGUAGCUAAAAGACAUAAAAAAGGUUAAUCUUAAUUUAUUAUUCUAAAGUUUCUUAGUUUUCAAUAUUUGGUAUAUAAAGUUUUUUUUAUUCUAGAGUUGUACAUAAAGUUAUAAUUUUGGGAUACUUUCAUACAUCCAUUAAGGUUGCUGUUAAAUUUAUCAUUAACUGAUGAUAUGACAUUUAUGUUGACAAUGACACGUAGAUAUUAAAAAUUAAAAAUUAAAUUAAUAAAAUAAUAAAAAUUAAAAAAAAAAAAAAAUUGGGCGUCUUCACCCUCACCCCUUCUGACCCCCCUCCCUUCUCUCCUCUGCACCCACGCUUCCCCCUCCCUCUUCGACUCCACCCAACGCUGCACUCCGAGGAUUGUUGCCAUCCUUUCAAGCCCAAUUUCGCCCCCAAAUAGGCCCGGGCAGUACUUGGCCAUAAACUUCAAGUCGUAGACCCUCUCGAACAAACGACCUGCCAUCUUUGCGAACUCAGUGGGGGAGCUGAGGAUGGUCUUCCUCGUCACCAGCUUCAUUACAUAGGCCGAGUCGUAGAGGCCGUGGAAGCUCACCCAUACGAGCUGCCCCCUGUGCACCCUUAAAAUCUCAACGAAACCCUCCACAAAAAUAUCCGAAUCAAUGCCGAACUUCCCAAAUUUCUCGAGAUCCAAGCCAUUCGCUUUGAGGAGGGCAAUGGAUUCUGGAACAUGGGGGUCGGUUUCCUCGUCAAAACCCCGAAAGUUGAACUCCCAGGUGCCGCCGACGUUGCCGCGGUCGUCGAACAGGGUGAUACCCACUUGGAUGAGAUUGAGAGAAUCGACAUUAAGGGCGAUAUCUUGGUAACGGAGGCCCUUGGAAGUGCCUCUGGGGGUGUUGCGGAGGAACCCCGGAAAUUCGGUGUCGAACGAGACGAUCGGAAAACGGCAGAGACACCGAUCGACGGAGGGAAGGGGAAAGGUGGGUGCAAAGGAGAGAACGGGAGUGGGGUCGGAAGGGGUGAGGAAGAAGAUGCCCAAAUUUUUUUAUUUAUUUAAUUUUUUUAGUUUUUAUUAUUUUAUUUUUUAAUAUGCACGUGUCAUCAUGUCAUUGUCCACGUGGAUAACACAUCAUUAGUUAACAGUAAAUUUAAAGGCAACCUUAAUGAAUGUAUAAAAUUGUUCCAAAAUUAUAACUUUAUGUACCACUCUGAGAUGAAAAAAACUUUAUUUACCAAAUAUUGAAAACAAAAAAACUUUAAGAUAAUAAACUAAUAUUAAUCCUAAAAAACUACUAAAGGAAAGGGUGAAAGAAAAAAUUAUUAGUUUGUGCUGUUCUCAUGGUAAUAGUGGUUUUUGUAUUGUACGAUCAUGUGUUACAUUUUAUGCAUUAUUAUGUGGAUGAAUGAAUAAGUUAAUUACAUCGCAUGUCAUAGGGUGAAUAUUACAUUAAAAAAUUCUUCAUUCUUGUUAUUCGUCAAAUUAAUGGUUGUGCAUUUGUAUGAGGACCUAGAUCUGUUGAGGAUGCAGAUCUUCACUCGUUGAAGGCCAUCCCUAUCUAUCUACUACUACUCUUUGGAAAAUAAUUGACUACAGAUGAUUGUACAAAAAAAUAAUUAAUAUUAUCUGAACAGCUCACCAUGCAUGUUCAGUAAAGUAAAGCGGAUUUGUUUAUUCAUUGUCUAGUUCAAACUUGGGGAGCAUUUUCUCAUUCUUGCGGUGAUCAGAAUAAUGUGAUUUAAGUCCAGUUAAACAUGCUUAAUUAUGCAUUUAAGCAUCUUUUAUUUAUUUGCUUUCAUUAUUUUUUCCUUCUUAAUGUGUUGUUAUUGUUUGGAACAACAAGUAAGACAAAUCUAGCCAGUUAGCAUUCACCGCAUCACCGCAUAAUGAAAGAUUAUUCAUAUUUGGAAAUGAAUAAUUAAUUAAAAAACUGUAUUAUUAAGGCAAAUGGGCACUUAAUAUUUGUAUCUUAAACCUUCCGAGUCGGAUAUUCGAGUAAAUUAGUUAAAAAGCUAUGCAAAAUGUGAAUGUGACAGACUACGUAGUAAAGUUUGGGUUAAGAGAGAGAGAGAGAGAGAGAGAGAGUAUUUCGCAGCCGGCUGGUCCCUAUGUACGGGAAGAAUCAUAGAAAGUUAGGUAACUACACACAUUUUUCAAAGAUGUCGAUCAUGAAAAAUAUUUGAUAACAAAUUCAGGGAGGACAUACUGCUUAAAUUAUUAACCUAGAAAUAAAGUUCGAUCUCUUGCUUUAACUUUUCUGCUACGUAGCUCUUAUUGCAUUAAACAAAGCCUUAUUAAAGUAAAGAUGGUCACACCCUUAGCCCUUUAGGUGAUACGUUCAGGGAAAUGGUUAAUGUUUUUACAAGCUCUUGUUUAUUUUUAUUUUUUAAUAUUUUCAGAUAUUUUUACAAUCUUUUACUGCGCAGUAAUAGAGUGUAAAAAUCAUAUCUAUGUAUUUAUUUAUUAUUAACUAUGUUUACAAUGAACCUUCUAUUCCAUGAAACAAGAUAUAAAAAUAAAAAUAAAAAGGAGAAGGGCAUAAAUUAACAAAAUUCGGUCAAAGGCCGCAUUGGUCCAAACAUUAAUUGAUAAUCUAUGACAAAUAGUCUGGCCCCAUUAGCAUUAUUUUAACAGUAAUAUUGUUUUUUUACUAAGAUAAUUAAUAAUUGCCAAGUGAAAAUUUGGCAUGAGUACCAUUGUGAAGGGUAAAAACCAAAGCUAUAUAAAGGGUGAGGAGGCUUAGCUUCAGAGGCAGACAACCAAAAACCCAUUCUUAACGAAGGAUGGGAAAAAUGGUGCCUUCACAAGUGACCUCUCUUGUGGUCACUCUCCUAGUGGCAAUAGUCUCUCUCACAUUGCCUUCAGAAACUUCAGCUAACUACCCUUACACCUCUCCACCACCACCGGCCUCUCCUCCCUACCAUUACAAGUCACCACCGCCUCCUUCUCCUUCUCCUCCAGUGCACUACUCACCACCUAAGCAUCCCUACCACCCUAAGUCACCACCACCUCCUGUGUACGCACCACCUAAGCAUCCCUACCACCCUAAGUCACCACCACCUCCUGUGUACCCACCACCUAAGCAUCCCUACCACCCCAAGUCACCACCACCAUCACCAAAGCCUUACCACUACAAAUCCCCACCACCACCUCCUGCUCCAGUGCACUCACCACCCCCACCUAAGGAGCCAUACCACUACAAGUCCCCACCACCACCACCCAAGAAGCCCUACCACUACAAAUCUCCCCCACCACCUCCUCCUCCAGUUCACUCACCACCACCACCCAAGGAGCCUUACCACUACAAAUCUCCACCACCACCACCCAAGAAACCUUACUAUUACAAGUCUCCUCCACCACCACCAAAGAAGCCUUACCACUACAUGUCUCCUCCCCCACCGGUGUACUCACCACCUCCACCAGUGCACUCACACCCACCACCAAAAAAGCCUUACCAUUACAAAUCUCCUCCCCCGCCAGAAUAUUCACCAGCUCCACCAGUGCACUCAACCCCACCACCAAAGAAGCCCUACCAUUACAAAUCCCCACCACCACCACCACCACACAAGAAGCCUUAUUACCCUGUUCACUCACCACCUCCACCUAAGAAGCCUUACCACUACAAAUCCCCACCACCACCUUCUCCUACUCCUCCUAAAUACUCACCACCUAAGCACCCCUACCACUACAAGUCUCCACCACCACCACCAAAGAAGCCUUACCAUUACAAGUCCCCACCACCUCCUUCUCCUACUCCCCCUAAAUACUCACCACCUAAGCACCCCUACCACUACAAGUCACCACCACCACCACCCCAAGAAGCCUUACCACUACAAGUCUCCACCACCACCACCUCCUCCAGUUCCCACACCAUCUCCACCCAAGAAACCUUACCACUACAAGUCUCCCCCACCACCCCCUCCAGUCUACAAGUCUCCUCCACCACCAGUUUACUCACCACCACCACCACCUAAGAAACCUUACAAGCCACCAACUCCUCCAGCAGUUCACCCACCACACGGUUACAUCUAUUCCUCACCCCCACCUCCUCACCACUACUAGAUAUUGAAAGUUUAAUUGCAUCAAGCUGGUAAGCUUCUCCAUUCUAUGCUAUUAUUCAUUAAUUAGUUAGUACUACUGUUGUCAAUUUGGAAAUCACCAUACAACCAAAUGCACACUCUGACGAAAUAACAUAUAAAUUCUAAUUGAAUAGUCUUUAUUUCCAUUUUUGGCUAAUAAUCCUUAUUAGCAUAUGGAUAAUGUAUUUCCAACAUAUCGUUAUUAACUUAUUACUCAAUUAAUAUUUCUUUUUCUUUAAAUUCAGUAGCCGUGUGUAACAAAUAGACCAAUGGCAGAGACCCAACAAAUAACAAUAAUAUGUCUUUGCAGGUAAGGGAAGAAGAAAGGUCAGAAUAAAGAGGGGCUGUUGAAGUCGAACAGCGCGCCUUAUUACCACACAAAGAAGAAGAGAGAGAAAAAAACGAGUCUCCACGCAG
Molecule: long non-coding RNA, 17197 nt
Filed under: Malus domestica (apple)
Lineage: Eukaryota; Viridiplantae; Streptophyta; Magnoliopsida; Rosales; Rosaceae
Description: long non-coding RNA (MDOM_LNC008886)
Source: RNAcentral